This 696-nucleotide long non-coding RNA is filed under the name Homo sapiens (human). RNAcentral describes it as "non-protein coding lnc-COBLL1-2:4". Lineage: Eukaryota; Metazoa; Chordata; Mammalia; Primates; Hominidae. The record is from RNAcentral.
GGCAACUGUAGCAGAAUGGAAAGUAUUUAUGUAUCUAAACAUAGAAAAAUAUAUAGUAAAAAUACAGCAUUGUAAUCAUAUAUGUGGGCCAUUAGGUGAUGCAUAACUGUAAUAUCUAAUAUUUAAUUUAUUAGAUAGUUAUCUCAAACAUUUAGUAUCUAGUAAAUAAACUUAUUUUAUAUUACUAUCUAGGGGACUUAUUUGAAAAUUACUGCAGAAAUGAUGACCUGGUAACAUUUGGAAGAUUUUGUUAUGGUGUCACUGUCAUUUUGACAUACCCUAUGGAAUGCUUUGUGACAAGAGAGGUAAUUGCCAAUGUGUUUUUUGGUGGGAAUCUUUCAUCGGUUUUCCACAUUGUUGUAACAGUGAUGGUCAUCACUGUAGCCACGCUUGUGUCAUUGCUGAUUGAUUGCCUCGGGAUAGUUCUAGAACUCAAUAUCUUUCUUUUAUAGUCUGCACUGCCAUCAACCAAAUAGAAGUCCUCAUAAUAUCACAGUUGAAUUAAUCCCAGCUCUGUUUCAACUAUCAUGUAUUUAAGUUCUGCUUUCAGUUUAUCGGCAUUUUCCUACCAGAGGUGUGCUCUGUGCAACUCCCCUCAUUUUUAUCAUUCCAUCAGCCUGUUAUCUGAAACUGUCUGAAGAACCAAGGACACACUCCGAUAAGAUUAUGUCUUGUGUCAUGCUUCCCAUUGGUGCU